Molecule: small nuclear RNA, 164 nt
Filed under: Sus scrofa (pig)
Lineage: Eukaryota; Metazoa; Chordata; Mammalia; Artiodactyla; Suidae
Also listed under: 2 other names
Description: U1 spliceosomal RNA (ENSSSCG00165009120.1)
Rfam family: U1 spliceosomal RNA
About the family: U1 is a small nuclear RNA (snRNA) component of the spliceosome (involved in pre-mRNA splicing).
Source: RNAcentral
AUACUUACCUGGCAGGGGAGAUACCAUGAUCACGAAGGUGGUUUUCCCAGGGCGAGGCUUACCCAUUGCACUCCGGAUGUGCUGACCCCUGCGAUUUCCCCAAAUGUGGGAAACUCGACUGCAUAAUUUGUGGUAGUGGGGGACUGCGUUCGCGCUUUCCCCUG